Molecule: ribosomal RNA, 492 nt
Filed under: uncultured bacterium
Lineage: Bacteria
Description: partial 16S ribosomal RNA
Rfam family: Bacterial small subunit ribosomal RNA
Source: RNAcentral
AGUGAACGCUGGCGGUAGGCCUAACACAUGCAAGUCGAACGGCAGCACAGUAAGAGCUUGCUCUUACGGGUGGCGAGUGGCGGACGGGUGAGGAAUACAUCGGAAUCUACUUUUUCGUGGGGGAUAACGUAGGGAAACUUACGCUAAUACCGCAUACGACCUACGGGUGAAAGCAGGGGAUCUUCGGACCUUGCGCGAUUGAAUGAGCCGAUGUCGGGUUAGCUAGUUGGCGGGGUAAAGGCCCACCCAGGCGACGAUCCGUAGCUGGUGUGAGUGGAUGAUCAGCCACAUGGGAACGGAGACACGGUCCAGACGCCUACGGGAGGCAGCAGUGGGGAAUAGUGGGCAAUGGGCGCAAGCCUGGUCCAGCCAUACCGCGUGGGUGAAGAAGGCCUUCGGGUUGUAAAGCCCUUUUGUUGGGAAAGAAAAGCAGCAGGUUAAUACCCCGCUGUUCUGACGGUACCCAAAAAAUAAGCACCGGCUAACUUCGUG